GACGAACGCUGGCGGCGUGCUUAACACAUGCAAGUCGAGCGGUAAGGCCCUUUCGGGGGUACACGAGCGGCGAACGGGUGAGUAACACGUGGGUGACCUGCCCUCAGCUCUGGGAUAAGCCUGGGAAACCGGGUCUAAUACCGGAUACGACUCCAUGACGCAUGUUGUGGGGUGGAAAGCCUUGUGCGGCUGAGGAUGGGCCCGCGGCCUAUCAGCUUGUUGGUGGGGUGANGGCCUACCAAGGCGACGACGGGUAGCCGGCCUGAGAGGGCGACCGGCCACACUGGGACUGAGACACGGCCCAGACUCCUACGGGAGGCAGCAGUGGGGAAUCUUGCGCAAUGGGCGAAAGCCUGACGCAGCGACGCCGCGUGAGGGAUGACGGCCU
This 388-nucleotide ribosomal RNA is filed under the name uncultured bacterium. Its description in RNAcentral is "bacterial SSU rRNA". It matches the Rfam family "Bacterial small subunit ribosomal RNA", at positions 28 to 417 of the family's 1533-position model. The record is from RNAcentral.